This is a long non-coding RNA of Manis pentadactyla (Chinese pangolin), 1332 nucleotides long. RefSeq lists it as uncharacterized. The transcript is spliced from 3 exons. NCBI's taxonomy places the organism in Eukaryota, Metazoa, Chordata, Mammalia, Pholidota, Manidae. The record is from RefSeq and is a predicted model, not a curated record.
GCUUCAGCCACGAGAAUUUCAGCUCCACGGGAACAAGUUUUUCAUGUCUUUUAUUUCCUGCGUAUAACAGUGUAACUAUAUUAGCGGGCCUAUCCCUAAGGGAAUUUACAGGACCGCUGAAAGCUGGCCUUGACAGGGCUCACUUGCGGAAGAGGAAUGAAUCCUUCCAAACUCCGAUCUUGCAGGACACCGUCCCCCCCUGGCCUGCAGCUGGUGUAACAGGGAUCAUUCCCUGAAAUAGCAGGAUCCUGCCAACAGCAGGACAUCAGUAAGAUUGGUUAUAGGACCCAAAGGCCGGCGCGGACCACGUCCAAUUAGAUCAUCCCUGGCUAAGAACCAGCACGAAUACAAGGAUCCAUUACAGGUGUAGGCGCGGAACUGGGCUGAACUCCGCCCUGAGCGUCCACGUCCAAGCUGCACCCGAGGUUAGCGGCUGGUGACGUAGCACGGGCCCCUCUCGCCCCGGCCGUGCUGCGCAGGCGCCGUACUCCCCAGCGGCGGCCCCCAGCUUGACCGUUGCCGCUUCGGUUUCCCGGCGCCUGCGUGGCUCGGGGUCUCUGGUCGCCGGUUGGGCAGCCGUUGCGGGGCCGGCGGCAGAGGUGAAGUGAGGGCCCGGGCGGGGCUCCCGGGAGCCAUGGCCUGCUCUAUUGUCCAGUUCUGCUCCUUCCAGGACCUCCAGGCCGCCCGGGACUUCCUCUUCCCGGGCCUGCGGGAGGGGAGCCCCAGCGGCGCCGCGCGCGGGGACCCCGGUAUAUCAACAGACUAGAAGAUGAUGGAUGUGGAGCAUGGGAAGAAACUGAACCCCAGGAACCUGUUAUUUUCAUCUACAGUCCCUGUGACCUGGACCUGCCCCCUGGCUGCAGCUGCCACAUGAUGAUUGCUUUGAACUCCCUACCUGUUCAGCUGUUGACCACCUGUGGAAUGGGAAAACUAUGGAUUUAAUCUUCAUAGGACUUUGAACCUAGCUGAAUCCUCUGGCUUGAGGAUUAUCAUGAUUUUCUUGCUGUUGCUAUUCUGUUAUUAGUCUUGUUACAAUGCUCCAGUUUUCUCGCACAGGGGCUAUUGCGGAAGAUGGUGAACGAGAAGAUUGUGAGGCGAGAGUUCUGGAGCAGUGGGUGUGUGGGUAAAAUUGCAGUAUUUCCAGAAUCUCUCACCUGGCCUUAGUGCAUCUCCAAAUCAAUAGGUGUUUCCAAGGGAUGGAGAAAAAUAGACCAUCUCCAUAUUGAUAGGUAAUUACAAGGGUGAGCAGGGCAUAUCUGGAUCAGCCAGGUCAUGAGAGAAAUGGGAGAGCAGAAGUGGACAACUGUAAGCAAUAAACAGGUUUCUCCGACA